Molecule: ribosomal RNA, 460 nt
Filed under: uncultured bacterium
Lineage: Bacteria
Description: partial 16S ribosomal RNA
Rfam family: Bacterial small subunit ribosomal RNA
Source: RNAcentral
CCUACGGGUGGCUGCAGUGAGGAAUAUUGGUCAAUGGACGAGAGUCUGAACCAGCCAAGUAGCGUGCAGGAUGACUGCCCUAUGAGUUGUAAACUUCUUUUAUAUGGGAAUAAACUGUUCCACGUGUGGGAUUUUGUAUGUACCAUAUGAAUAAGGAUCGGCUAACUCCGUGCCAGCAGCCGCGGUAAUACGGAGGAUCCGAGCGUUAUCCGGAUUUAUUGGGUUUAAAGGGAGCGUAGGUGGAUUGUUAAGUCAGUUGUGAAAGUUUGAGGCUCAACCGUAAAAUUGCAGUUGAUACUGGCAGUCUUGAGUACAGUAGAGGUGGGCGGAAUUCGUGGUGUAGCGGUGAAAUGCUUAGAGAUCACGAAGAACGCCGAUUGCGAAGGCAGUUCACUGGACUGCAACUGACACUGAGGCUCGAAAGUGUGGGUAUCAAACAGGAUUAGAUACCCCAGUAGUC